GGGAAUUUUGCGCAAUGGGCGAAAGCCUGACGCAGCAACGCCGCGUGCGGGACGAAGGCCCUCGGGUUGUAAACCGCUUUCAGCAGGGAAGAUCCAAGACGGUACCUGCAGAAGAAGCUCCGGCUAACUACGUGCCAGCAGCCGCGGUAAUACGUAGGGGGCGAGCGUUAUCCGGAUUUAUUGGGUUUAAAGGGUGCGUAGGCGGGCUUUUAAGUCAGCGGUAAAAAUUCGGGGCUCAACCCCGUCCGGCCGUUGAAACUGGGGGCCUUGAGUGGGCGAGAAGAAGGCGGAAUGCGUGGUGUAGCGGUGAAAUGCAUAGAUAUCACGCAGAACCCCGAUUGCGAAGGCAGCCUUCCGGCGCCCUACUGACGCUGAGGCACGAAAGUGCGGGGAUCGAACAGG
Molecule: ribosomal RNA, 402 nt
Filed under: uncultured bacterium
Lineage: Bacteria
Description: bacterial SSU rRNA
Rfam family: Bacterial small subunit ribosomal RNA
Source: RNAcentral